UAUCAAUAUUUUAGAAGUUUAGAGAAAGUAAUAGAUUUUGUAAGAAAUAGUAAGGGACUGCCAUGUAGUUCCUUCUGUGAAUCAUUAAAUUAAUUUAUUAGUUUUUUUAAGAUAAAAAGAUGCAUUUAGAAUAGUCAAAACUACAAUAUAUAGUAAAUAGUGAAGAAAUCCUAAGACAAAUAGAAAAUUAAAAUGUUAAUUGUAGAAAUGGAGUCUUAGUAAGUUUUGGAGGCAAUUAUCUUAGUUAGUUUAGUAUUUUUAUUUAUUAUUAAGUAUCUAGGGUUAUUUAUUAAGAUCAAUAUUUACAUUGGUCUUACAUCUAUAUGUAUUACUUAU
RNAcentral lists this long non-coding RNA (336 nucleotides) under Physcomitrium patens. RNAcentral describes it as "long non-coding RNA (PPAT_LNC008680)". Lineage: Eukaryota; Viridiplantae; Streptophyta; Bryopsida; Funariales; Funariaceae. The record is from RNAcentral.